This is a long non-coding RNA of Eriocheir sinensis (Chinese mitten crab), 704 nucleotides long. RefSeq lists it as uncharacterized. The transcript has 5 exons. Lineage: Eukaryota; Metazoa; Arthropoda; Malacostraca; Decapoda; Varunidae. The record is from RefSeq and is a predicted model, not a curated record.
GCCUACCACGGCUGACGACCUCCACCUGGCCGGGUUUAUUGUUCGGAGUUUGCUCUCCUAGGUGAACUGCCUACCACGGCUGACGACCUCCACCUGCCCGGGUUUGUUGUUCGGAGUUUGCUCUCCUAGGUGAAUUGCCUACCACGGCUAACGAGCCCCACCUGCCCGCGUUUGUUUAGAGUUUGCUCUCCUAGGUGAACUGCCUACCACGGCUAACGAGCCUCACCUGCCCGGGUUUGUUUAGAGUUUGCUCUCCUAGGUGAAUUGCCUCCCACGGCUAACGACCUCCACCUGCCCGGGUUUGUUUAGAGUUUGCUCUCCUAGGUGAAUUGCCUCCCACGGCUAACGACCUCCACCUGCCCGGGUUUGUUUAGAGUUUGCUCUCCUAGGUGAAUUGCCUCCCACGGCUAACGACCUCCACCUGCCCGGGUUUGUUUAGAGUUUGCUCUCCUAGGUGAAUUGCCUCCCACGGCUAACGACCUCCACCUGCCCGGGUUUGUAUAGAGUUUGCUCUCCUAGGUGAAUUGCCUCCCACGGCUAACGACCUCCACCUGCCCGGGUUUAUUGUUCGGAGUUUGCUCUCCUAGGCAGACUGCCUACCACGGCUAACGAGCUUCACCUGCCCGGGUUUGUAGCCGGAAGAUCUCCGGCACCUCCGUCGGGGCCCCGAGGGACGCCGAGGAGCCCUGCCUGGAGCCCUCCAG